UUAAGCAACUAAGCGUACACGGUGGAUGCCCUGGCAGUCAGAGGCGAUGAAGGACGUGCUAAUCUGCGAUAAGCGUCGGUAAGGUGAUAUGAACCGUUAUAACCGGCGAUUUCCGAAUGGGGAAACCCAGUGUGUUUCGACACACUAUCAUUAACUGAAUCCAUAGGUUAAUGAGGCGAACCGGGGGAACUGAAACAUCUAAGUACCCCGAGGAAAAGAAAUCAACCGAGAUUCCCCCAGUAGCGGCGAGCGAACGGGGAGCAGCCCAGAGCCUGAAUCAGUGUGUGUGUUAGUGGAAGCGUCUGGAAAGGCGCGCGAUACAGGGUGACAGCCCCGUACACAAAAAUGCACAUACUGUGAGCUCGAUGAGUAGGGCGGGACACGUGGUAUCCUGUCUGAAUAUGGGGGGACCAUCCUCCAAGGCUAAAUACUCCUGACUGACCGAUAGUGAACCAGUACCGUGAGGGAAAGGCGAAAAGAACCCCGGCGAGGGGAGUGAAAAAGAACCUGAAACCGUGUACGUACAAGCAGUGGGAGCACGCUUAGGCGUGUGACUGCGUACCUUUUGUAUAAUGGGUCAGCGACUUAUAUUCUGUAGCAAGGUUAACCGAAUAGGGGAGCCGAAGGGAAACCGAGUCUUAACUGGGCGUUAAGUUGCAGGGUAUAGACCCGAAACCCGGUGAUCUAGCCAUGGGCAGGUUGAAGGUUGGGUAACACUAACUGGAGGACCGAACCGACUAAUGUUGAAAAAUUAGCGGAUGACUUGUGGCUGGGGGUGAAAGGCCAAUCAAACCGGGAGAUAGCUGGUUCUCCCCGAAAGCUAUUUAGGUAGCGCCUCGUGAAUUCAUCUCCGGGGGUAGAGCACUGUUUCGGCAAGGGGGUCAUCCCGACUUACCAACCCGAUGCAAACUGCGAAUACCGGAGAAUGUUAUCACGGGAGACACACGGCGGGUGCUAACGUCCGUCGUGAAGAGGGAAACAACCCAGACCGCCAGCUAAGGUCCCAAAGUCAUGGUUAAGUGGGAAACGAUGUGGGAAGGCCCAGACAGCCAGGAUGUUGGCUUAGAAGCAGCCAUCAUUUAAAGAAAGCGUAAUAGCUCACUGGUCGAGUCGGCCUGCGCGGAAGAUGUAACGGGGCUAAACCAUGCACCGAAGCUGCGGCAGCGACGCUGAUGCGUUGUUGGGUAGGGGAGCGUUCUGUAAGCCUGCGAAGGUGUGCUGUGAGGCAUGCUGGAGGUAUCAGAAGUGCGAAUGCUGACAUAAGUAACGAUAAAGCGGGUGAAAAGCCCGCUCGCCGGAAGACCAAGGGUUCCUGUCCAACGUUAAUCGGGGCAGGGUGAGUCGACCCCUAAGGCGAGGCCGAAAGGCGUAGUCGAUGGGAAACAGGUUAAUAUUCCUGUACUUGGUGUUACUGCGAAGGGGGGACGGAGAAGGCUAUGUUGGCCGGGCGACGGUUGUCCCGGUUUAAGCGUGUAGGCUGGUUUUCCAGGCAAAUCCGGAAAAUCAAGGCUGAGGCGUGAUGACGAGGCACUACGGUGCUGAAGCAACAAAUGCCCUGCUUCCAGGAAAAGCCUCUAAGCAUCAGGUAACAUCAAAUCGUACCCCAAACCGACACAGGUGGUCAGGUAGAGAAUACCAAGGCGCUUGAGAGAACUCGGGUGAAGGAACUAGGCAAAAUGGUGCCGUAACUUCGGGAGAAGGCACGCUGAUAUGUAGGUGAAGUCCCUUGCGGAUGGAGCUGAAAUCAGUCGAAGAUACCAGCUGGCUGCAACUGUUUAUUAAAAACACAGCACUGUGCAAACACGAAAGUGGACGUAUACGGUGUGACGCCUGCCCGGUGCCGGAAGGUUAAUUGAUGGGGUUAGCCGCAAGCGAAGCUCUUGAUCGAAGCCCCGGUAAACGGCGGCCGUAACUAUAACGGUCCUAAGGUAGCGAAAUUCCUUGUCGGGUAAGUUCCGACCUGCACGAAUGGCGUAAU
This 1978-nucleotide ribosomal RNA is filed under the name Escherichia coli 2-316-03_S4_C2. RNAcentral's name for it is "bacterial LSU rRNA". It matches the Rfam family "Bacterial large subunit ribosomal RNA", at positions 3 to 2005 of the family's 2925-position model. Lineage: Bacteria; Pseudomonadati; Pseudomonadota; Gammaproteobacteria; Enterobacterales; Enterobacteriaceae. The record is from RNAcentral.